AGGGAUGCUACCGGGCGACCGGAUGCGGAUCUCGAAAGCCUGUCCCAGUUCGGACUGGAGUCUGCAACCCGACUCCACGAAGUUGGAUUCGCUAGUAAUCGCGCAUCAGCCAUGGCGCGGUGAAUACGUUCCCGGGCCUUGUACACACCGCCCGUCAAGCCAUGGGAGCCGGGGGCGCCUGAAGUCCGUGACCGCGAGGGUCGGCCUAGGGUGAAACCGGUGAUUGGGGCUAAGUCGUAACAAGGUAAC
This 249-nucleotide ribosomal RNA is filed under the name uncultured bacterium. RNAcentral's name for it is "partial 16S ribosomal RNA". It matches the Rfam family "Bacterial small subunit ribosomal RNA", at positions 1243 to 1500 of the family's 1533-position model. The record is from RNAcentral.